This 255-nucleotide ribosomal RNA is filed under the name uncultured prokaryote. RNAcentral's name for it is "partial 16S ribosomal RNA". It matches the Rfam family "Bacterial small subunit ribosomal RNA", at positions 521 to 774 of the family's 1533-position model. The record is from RNAcentral.
UAAUACGUAGGGUGCGAGCGUUGUCCGGAAUUAUUGGGCGUAAAGAGCUCAUAGGCGGUCUGUCGCGUCGGUCGUGAAAACUUGGGGCUUAACCCUGGGCUUGCGGUCGAUACGGGCAUGACUGGAGUUCGGCAGGGGAGACUGGAAUUCCUGGUGUAGCGGUGAAAUGCGCAGAUAUCAGGAGGAACACCGGUGGCGAAGGCGGGUCUCUGGGCCGAUACUGACGCUGAGGAGCGAAAGCGUGGGGAGCGAACA